This 72-nucleotide transfer RNA is filed under the name Phrynosoma platyrhinos (Desert horned lizard). RNAcentral describes it as "tRNA-OTHER". It matches the Rfam family "tRNA". Rfam says of the family: Transfer RNA (tRNA) molecules are approximately 80 nucleotides in length. Their secondary structure includes four short double-helical elements and three loops (D, anti-codon, and T loops). The record is from RNAcentral. Lineage: Eukaryota; Metazoa; Chordata; Lepidosauria; Squamata; Phrynosomatidae.
GCCAGUGUGGCAUAAUGGUUUGAGCGUUGGACUAGAACUCUGGAGAACAGGGUUCAAUUCCCAGCUCAGCCA